CCUACGGGAGGCAGCAGUGGGGAAUAUUGCACAAUGGGGGAAACCCUGAUGCAGCGACGCCGCGUGAGUGAAGAAGUAAUUCGUUAUGUAAAGCUCUAUCAGCAGGGAAGAAAAUGACGGUACCUGAGUAAGAAGCCCCGGCUAACUACGUGCCAGCAGCCGCGGUAAUACGUAGGGGGCAAGCGUUAUCCGGAUUUACUGGGUGUAAAGGGAGCGUAGACGGGAGUGCAAGUCAGAUGUGAAAGGCGAGGGCUCAACCCCCGAACUGCAUUGGAAACUGUACGGCUGGAGUGCAGGAGAGGUAGGUGGAAUUCCUGGUGUAGCGGUGAAAUGCGUAGAUAUUAGGAGGAACACCCGUGGCGAAGGCGGCUUACUGGACUGUAACUGACGUUGAGGCGCGAAAGCGUGGGGAGCAAACAGGAUUAGAUACCCUGGUAGUC
RNAcentral lists this ribosomal RNA (440 nucleotides) under uncultured bacterium. RNAcentral's name for it is "partial 16S ribosomal RNA". It matches the Rfam family "Bacterial small subunit ribosomal RNA", at positions 338 to 795 of the family's 1533-position model. The record is from RNAcentral.